UACGUAGGGUGCAAGCGUUGUCCGGAAUUAUUGGGCGUAAAGAGCUCGUAGGCGGUUUGUCGCGUCUGCCGUGAAAGUCCGGGGCUCAACUCCGGAUCUGCGGUGGGUACGGGCAGACUAGAGUGAUGUAGGGGAGACUGGAAUUCCUGGUGUAGCGGUGAAAUGCGCAGAUAUCAGGAGGAACACCGAUGGCGAAGGCAGGUCUCUGGGCAUUAACUGACGCUGAGGAGCGAAAGCAUGGGGAGCUAACAGG
This 253-nucleotide ribosomal RNA is filed under the name uncultured bacterium. Its description in RNAcentral is "partial 16S ribosomal RNA". It matches the Rfam family "Bacterial small subunit ribosomal RNA", at positions 524 to 776 of the family's 1533-position model. The record is from RNAcentral.